UACAGAGGUCUCAAGCGUUGUUCGGAUUCAUUGGGCGUAAAGGGUGCGUAGGCGGCGCGGUAAGUCGGGUGUGAAAUCUCGGGGCUUAACUCCGAAACUGCAUUCGAUACUGCCGUGCUUGAGGACUGGAGAGGAGACUGGAAUUUACGGUGUAGCAGUGAAAUGCGUAGAUAUCGUAAGGAAGGCCGGUGGCGAAAGCGAGCCUCUGGACAGUUACUGACGCUGAUGCACGAAGGCCAGGGGAGCAAACGGG
Molecule: ribosomal RNA, 253 nt
Filed under: uncultured bacterium
Lineage: Bacteria
Description: partial 16S ribosomal RNA
Rfam family: Bacterial small subunit ribosomal RNA
Source: RNAcentral